CCCGACUGCUAUCAGAGUGGGACUAAGCCAUGCGAGUCAACGCCGCAAGGCGUGGCAUACGGCUCAGUAACACGUAGUCAACAUGCCCAGGGGACGUGGAUAACCUCGGGAAACUGAGGAUAAACCGCGAUAGGCCAAGGCUUCUGGAAUGGGCCAUGGCUGAAAUCUAUACGGCCCCUGGAUUGGACUGCGGCCGAUCAGGCUGUUGGUGAGGUAAUGGCCCACCAAACCUGUAACCGGUACGGGCUUUGAGAGAAGGAGCCCGGAGAUGGGCACUGAGACAAGGGCCCAGGCCCUAUGGGGCGCAGCAGGCGCGAAACCUCUGCAAUAGGCGAAAGCCUGACAGGGUUACUCUGAGUGAUGUCCGCUAAGGGCAUCUUUUGGCACCUCUAAAAAUGGUGCAGAAUAAGGGGUGGGCAAGUCUGGUGUCAGCCGCCGCGGUAAUACCAGCACCCCGAGUGGUCGGGACGAUUAUUGGGCCUAAAGCAUCCGUAGCUUGUUCUGCAAGUCCUCCGUUAAAUCCACCUGCUCAACAGAUGGGCUGCGGAGGAUACUACAGGGCUAGGAGGCGGGAGAGGCAAACGGUACUCGAUGGGUAGGGGUAAAAUCCUCUGAUCCAUUGAAGACCACCAGUGGCGAAGGCGGUUUGCCAGAACGCGCUCGACGGUGAGGGAUGAAAGCUGGGGGAGCAAACCGGAUUAGAUACCCGGGUAGUCCCAGCUGUAAACGAUGCAGACUCGGUGAUGGGUUGGCUUUGUGCCAACCCAGUGCCGCAGGGAAGCCGUUAAGUCUGCCGCCUGGGGAGUACGGUCGCAAGACUGAAACUUAAAGGAAUUGGCGGGGGAGCACCACAAGGGGUGAAGCCUGCGGUUCAAUUGGAGUCAACGCCGGGAAUCUUACCGGGGGCGACAGCAGUGUGAAGGUCAAGCUGAAGACUUUACCAGACAAGCUGAGAGGAGGUGCAUGGCCGUCGCCAGCUCGUGCCGUGAGGUGUCCUGUUAAGUCAGGUAACGAGCAAGAUCCCUGCCUCUAGUUGCUACCACUGUUCUCCGGAAUAGAGGGGCUAAUUAGAGGGACCGCCGCCGCUGAGGCGGAGGAAGGAGGGGGCUACGGCAGGUC
RNAcentral lists this ribosomal RNA (1119 nucleotides) under uncultured archaeon. RNAcentral's name for it is "bacterial SSU rRNA". It matches the Rfam family "Archaeal small subunit ribosomal RNA", at positions 21 to 1147 of the family's 1478-position model. The record is from RNAcentral.